AGCUUUGCGCAGUGGCAGUAUCGUAGCCAAUGAGGUUUAUCCGAGGCGCGAUUAUUGCUAAUUAAAAGAACAGACUCCACAUCUCAGCACAAGGUAAGCACCGUUUCCACACCAACUGUUGAAGCCUGGGUUUUCAG
RNAcentral lists this small nuclear RNA (137 nucleotides) under Mustela putorius furo (domestic ferret). Its description in RNAcentral is "U4 spliceosomal RNA". It matches the Rfam family "U4 spliceosomal RNA". Rfam says of the family: U4 small nuclear RNA (U4 snRNA) is a component of the major U2-dependent spliceosome. The structure of U4 snRNA from yeast and human has been reported. U4 snRNA presents a k-turn RNA motif in the 5p-SL related to recognition of Snu13 protein. The record is from Rfam by way of RNAcentral. Lineage: Eukaryota; Metazoa; Chordata; Mammalia; Carnivora; Mustelidae.